UUGCUUGGGCAGUACAUAUACUAAAUGUAUACAGAGAAGAUUAGUAUAGCUCCUGUCCAAGGAUGCCACACAAAUUCAUGAAAUGCUCCAUAUGAAA
Molecule: small nuclear RNA, 97 nt
Filed under: Castor canadensis (American beaver)
Lineage: Eukaryota; Metazoa; Chordata; Mammalia; Rodentia; Castoridae
Source: RNAcentral